ACCUACGGGGCGCAGCAGUGGGGAAUAUUGCACAAUGGGGGGAACCCUGAUGCAGCCAUGCCGCGUGUGUGAAGAAGGCCUUCGGGUUGUAAAGCACUUUCAGCGAGGAGGAAAGGUUGAUGCCUAAUACGCAUCAGCUGUGACGUUACUCGCAGAAGAAGCACCGGCUAACUCCGUGCCAGCAGCCGCGGUAAUACGGAGGGUGCAAGCGUUAAUCGGAAUUACUGGGCGUAAAGCGCACGCAGGCGGUUGGAUAAGUUAGAUGUGAGAGCCCCGGGCUCAACCUGGGAAUUGCAUUUAAAACUGUCCAGCUAGAGUCUUGUAGAGGGGGGUAGAAUUCCAGGUGUAGCGGUGAAAUGCGUAGAGAUCUGGAGGAAUACCGGUGGCGAAGGCGGCCCCCUGGACAAAGACUGACGCUCAGGUGCGAAAGCGUGGGGAGCAAACAGGAUUAGAUACCCCUGUAC
Molecule: ribosomal RNA, 464 nt
Filed under: uncultured bacterium
Lineage: Bacteria
Description: bacterial SSU rRNA
Rfam family: Bacterial small subunit ribosomal RNA
Source: RNAcentral